Molecule: ribosomal RNA, 752 nt
Filed under: Geobacillus kaustophilus
Lineage: Bacteria; Bacillati; Bacillota; Bacilli; Caryophanales; Anoxybacillaceae
Description: bacterial SSU rRNA
Rfam family: Bacterial small subunit ribosomal RNA
Source: RNAcentral
UAAUACAUGCAGUCGAGCGGACCGGUUCGGAGCUUGCUCUGAUUUGGUCAGCGGCGGACGGGUGAGUAACACGUGGGCAACCUGCCCGCAAGACCGGGAUAACUCCGGGAAACCGGAGCUAAUACCGGAUAACACCGAAGACCGCAUGGUCUUUGGUUGAAAGGCGGCCUUUGGCUGUCACUUGCGGAUGGGCCCGCGGCGCAUUAGCUAGUUGGUGAGGUAACGGCUCACCAAGGCGACGAUGCGUAGCCGGCCUGAGAGGGUGACCGGCCACACUGGGACUGAGACACGGCCCAGACUCCUACGGGAGGCAGCAGUAGGGAAUCUUCCGCAAUGGGCGAAAGCCUGACGGAGCGACGCCGCGUGAGCGAAGAAGGCCUUCGGGUCGUAAAGCUCUGUUGUGAGGGACGAAGGAGCGCCGUUCGAAGAGGGCGGCGCGGUGACGGUACCUCACGAGGAAGCCCCGGCUAACUACGUGCCAGCAGCCGCGGUAAUACGUAGGGGGCGAGCGUUGUCCGGAAUUAUUGGGCGUAAAGCGCGCGCAGGCGGUUCCUUAAGUCUGAUGUGAAAGCCCACGGCUCAACCGUGGAGGGUCAUUGGAAACUGGGGGACUUGAGUGCAGGAGAGGAGAGCGGAAUUCCACGUGUAGCGGUGAAAUGCGUAGAGAUGUGGAGGAACACCAGUGGCGAAGGCGGCUCUCUGGCCUGCAACUGACGCUGAGGCGCGAAAGCGUGGGGAGCAAACAGGAUUAG